UGAUAAGAAGAGGACUCAAACCUCUGUUGAUGGGGCUACAACCCACCGCCUAA
This 53-nucleotide transfer RNA is filed under the name Boana multifasciata (many-banded treefrog). RNAcentral describes it as "partial tRNA-Tyr". Lineage: Eukaryota; Metazoa; Chordata; Amphibia; Anura; Hylidae. The record is from RNAcentral.